GGGACUGGGAGACUAGUCAGGAUCGAGGGGAAGAUGAACGGAGCAAAGUACAGAGAGAUGUCUGGUGAAAACCUGCUCCAGAGCUCUCAGGACCUCAGACUGGGGCGACGACUCCAAUGAGACUGCAUGAAUCAGGUCUUCAUGGUCGAAUUGCUACAAAGAAACCACUACUAAAGGACACCAAUAAGAAGAAGAGACUUGCUUGGGCCAAGAAACACGAACAAUGGACAUUUGACCAGUCUUUUGGUCUGGACAAUGACCCAACACACCUCCAGGCUGUGUAAGGGCUAUUUGACCAAGAAGGAGAGUGAUGGAGUGCUGCAUCAGAUGACCUGGCCUCCACAAUCACCUGAUUUGUUCAACUACAUGAUUCCAUGUGUUAUUCCAUAGUUCUGAUGUCUUCA
Oncorhynchus tshawytscha (Chinook salmon) is the source of this 404-nucleotide long non-coding RNA. The record is from Ensembl. NCBI's taxonomy places the organism in Eukaryota, Metazoa, Chordata, Actinopteri, Salmoniformes, Salmonidae.